UACGUAGGUGGCAAGCGUUGUCCGGAAUUAUUGGGCGUAAAGCGCGCGCAGGCGGCCUCUUAAGUCUGAUGUGAAAGCCCCCGGCUCAACCCGGGGAGGGCCAUUGGAAACUGGGAGGCUUGAGUAUAGGAGAGAAGAGUGGAAUUCCACGUGUAGCGGUGAAAUGCGUAGAGAUGUGGAGGAACACCAGUGGCGAAGGCGACUCUUUGGCCUAUAACUGACGCUGAGGCGCGAAAGCGUGGGGAGCAAACAGG
RNAcentral lists this ribosomal RNA (254 nucleotides) under uncultured bacterium. RNAcentral describes it as "partial 16S ribosomal RNA". It matches the Rfam family "Bacterial small subunit ribosomal RNA", at positions 524 to 776 of the family's 1533-position model. The record is from RNAcentral.